This 260-nucleotide ribosomal RNA is filed under the name uncultured prokaryote. RNAcentral's name for it is "partial 16S ribosomal RNA". It matches the Rfam family "Bacterial small subunit ribosomal RNA", at positions 524 to 784 of the family's 1533-position model. The record is from RNAcentral.
UACGUAGGGGCUAGCGUUAUCCGGAAUUACUGGGCGUAAAGAGCGCGCAGGUGGUUGAUUAAGUCUGAUGUGAAAGCCCACGGCUUAACCGUAGAGGGUCAUUGGAAACUGGUCGACUUGAGUGCAGAAGAGGGAAGUGGAAUUCCAUGUGUAGCGGUGAAAUGCGUAGAGAUAUGGAGGAACACCAGUGGCGAAGGCGACUCUCUGGUCUGUAACUGACGCUGAGGCUCGAAAGCGUGGGGAGCAAACAGGAUUAGAUA